AAUUAUAUAUUUAAUUUUUUUUUAUUAUUUAAAAAAUAAUAAAAUUAGUUUAAUUUAAUUUUUAAAAAUAUUAUAAUAUAUUAAUAAAAAUAUUUUUUAUGAGUUUUAGUAAAUAAAAAUAAAAUAAUAAUUUAAAUUUUAUAUAUUAAAGUAAAGAGAUUGAAAAUUGAAAUAUAAGUGAAAAAUAAAAUUACAGUAAAGAAAAAUUAAUUUUUUGUUCCUUGUGUAUCAGGAUUAAUUAAUUUAAAUGUUUUAAAUAAAAUUAAUUUAUAAUUUAAUGAAAAUUAAAAAUUUUUUAGUUUUAUUGUAUAAAAAAUAUUAAAAAAAAAUUUUUAAAAAUUAAAAGUUAAUUGUUCUUAAAGUUAUAUAAUUUUUAAAGAAAUAAAUUUAAUUUAAAAAUAAUUUUUUAUUAUUUUUAUAAUUUUGUGUUAUAAUAAUAAUUUUGGAUUAUGUUAAUAUUUUAAGGGUUGAGCUUUAAAAUAAAAAAUUAAAAAUAAAUUUUAUUUUUUAUAUAAAAAAUAAAUUAAAAUAAAAAUAAUCUUAAAAAUAGAUAGUUUAAAUUAAAAUGUUUUAAUUAAUUUUUAAUUUUUUAUUAUUUAUUUCUAAUUUUAAUUUUUUAUUUAAAAAAUUAUUUAAAUUUAAAAAAUAAUUAUAAAAUAAUUAAAUUAGUAAAUUUAAAUGGUUGUAUAAUACAAUUUGAAAUAAUAAUUUUUUAUAUAAUGAAUUCGGCAAUAUUAUUUUUGUCUGUUUAACAAAAACAUUGUUUUUUAAAUUUUUUUAAAAAAUAAAACCUGCACACUGAAUAUAAUUUUUAAAGAGCCGCGGUAUUUUGACCGUGCAAAGGUAGCAUAAUCAUUAGUUUUUUAAUUGAAGACUGGAAUGAAAGGUUUAAUAAAAAAUAAUCUUUAUUAUAUAAAUUUAAAUUGAAUUUAUUAUUUUAGUAAAAAAGCUAAAAUUUUAAUAAAAGACGAUAAGACCCUAUAAAGCUUUAUAAUUUUUUAUUAAAAAUUAUUAUAGAAUAGUAAAAUUUUUAAAUAAAAGUUUUAUUAAAUUGGGGUGAUUUAAAGAUUUAAUUAACUCUUUAUUUUAAAAAUCAUUAAUAAAUGAUUAAUAAUUUGAUCUUUAUUAUUUGGAUUAAAAAAUUAAGUUACUUUAGGGAUAACAGCGUAAUUUUUUUAAAGAGUUCAUAUCGAUAAAAAAGUUUGCGACCUCGAUGUUGGAUUAAGAUAAAUAUUUAGGUGUAGAAGUUUAAAUUUUUAGUCUGUUCGACUAAUUUUUCUUACAUGAUCUGAGUUCAAACCGGUUUAAGCCAGGUUGGUUUCUAUCUUUAUACAAUAAUUAUAUUAUAGUACGAAAGGACCUAAUAUAAAAAUUUAAAUUUUUGUUUAAGAAAUAAAAAAUUGAGAUAAAAAUUUAUUAUUAUUUAUAUAUUAUUUAUAAUUAAUUUAUUUAAUAAGUUAUAAU
RNAcentral lists this ribosomal RNA (1464 nucleotides) under Polypedilum henicurum. Its description in RNAcentral is "16S ribosomal RNA". Lineage: Eukaryota; Metazoa; Arthropoda; Insecta; Diptera; Chironomidae. The record is from RNAcentral.